UGUUGAGGACUCAAGGCUGGGGACUGUGACAGCCUUUUCAUCUCGCAAACAUGGCCCAGCUGCAGUGACAGACCCUCCAGUGACAUCCCACUGCCUGGCUUGAGCUCCCACAGGAGGAGCUCCCACACUUCCCCUUAAGCAUCCUAAAACCAAGGAAAGGAGCCCUUCGGCGACAAAGAACGAAGAGGAACUUUGCACUAAAAAUCACUUGGUUGGCUCAACGUCUUUCUCAACAACAGCCAGUAGGUCGGUUGACUUGUACUUCCCGAUGAUCUGAACAGAACUGAAAGAUGAAAGGCCAGGUGGCCAUCUGAUCACCAGGUACGCUUCUCUCUGACAAGCUCACGGUUCCCUCCCGUCUGAUUUAUUAUGCUCCUUGGCUUUGCGGCAACAUUUCACAAACUCAUCGAUACAGAAAUUCCCGAGACACUCAUGUUCAUGGCCAAACCAGGGAACUGGUGAUGGGUUGACCCACACCAGCUCCGGGGUCUUGCUCACUUCCCAUAGAAGAUACCAACCAUGGGGUAGCCUCAUCUUAUCAGCAAUCCGAGGGGACCACGGUGCAGUCAACAGCAAGAUGGUGGAGUCCUGGCUGUCCCUGUGUCAGGUUGACCUCCUAAGAGCUUCCAGGGGAGAUGGCUUUGAAAUCCUUGAAUGAGUUCAUGCUCUUUUCUUGAAAUACACUGAAUUCUGGCAACUUCCUAGAGUGCAGUGUCCCUGCCUUAUGCUGGUUUCCCUUGUGGCCCCAUGGGCCCCUUGCACGGAUUUGAGUAUCCUGGGUGUUGAGUUCAUUGUUGCAUCUUGGCUCGACAUCCUAGACCAGGAGCCAAGGAGAAAGGUCUUUGGAUACUUCUUGCUGAGUCCUGUUUCUCAUCCCCGGUACACAAAGAUGCACAGGAGUGUGCAAGCACAAGACUCUAGUUGGCUCGUCCUGGGUCAUUCAUUCAGCAUUUACGAACCCACCCACAGAACACGCUGAACCCAGGCGGCAG
Long non-coding RNA from Lynx canadensis (Canada lynx), 992 nucleotides. RefSeq lists it as uncharacterized. The record is from RefSeq and is a predicted model, not a curated record. The transcript has 4 exons. NCBI's taxonomy places the organism in Eukaryota, Metazoa, Chordata, Mammalia, Carnivora, Felidae.